CGCUUCCCCGUUGCCAUGGUGACUCGUCGAAUCGGCGCUCCAUUGAUGCUGUCUUUUCAGAGUUGUGGUGCACGCGCUUAACUCCGGGUGAAACUACUCCGAGUUGAUUAAACCAACUCAGAUCAGCUGUUCUGGAACCAGAAACUCAGAGUUUUCUAUCUCAGAGUAGAUCAACUCAGAGUUCAGGGUUAAACUCAGAGUUUGUUGAAGCUGCUUCGUGAAACGGACCCCAGGUUUAGGUCAGUGCUGGUUAAACCCUGCAGGUUUAUGGGUUCUCUGGAUGUUUUCGGGUUCAUUAAAGUGGCGGUGAGUCCUCUGAAGUGUGGUAAACACAGCUGUGUGUGAGUCUGCAGCGGGAGGUCUGUUUCUUAAGUACAACACAAUCACAGAAACAUUCAUAAAGGCUGAUGAAGCUUCUCCUCCUCUGCUGCUGCUCUGCUGAGUGAAAACGUUAAAUAUUCAUUAUAUACAAAAAAAGCAUAAAUUAACGGCUCGGCAAUCACAGCAGGUAACGUAUACUCCGCUCCCACCGCCUUUAUUCCGUCAUUACAGCCGGCUGCUCGCUGCGGCUGCUUGUUGGUAAAUUGGUAAAUGAAUCUCAGCGGGAGGAUCUCAGCGAGCAGAAGCCUCAGCAGGAAGCUGUAGGGUGACGGAACGUUUAAGGUUCUGCAGCCAAACGUAUACGGAACGUUUAAGCUUUACGCGGCCUCUGGAGGGUGUUGUCGUUGUUUACUAUGUUGUCUUGGCUUACUAUGUUGUUUAUUUACUGUUUAAUGACAAUGUUUGUGUCUGAUAUCAGGGGUCCGUUUCACGAAGCAGCUUCAACAAACUCUGAGUUUAACCCUGAACUCUGAGUUGAUCUACUCUGAGAUAGAAAACUCUGAGUUUCUGGUUCCAGAACAGCUGAUCUGAGUUGGUUUAAUCAACUCGGAUUAGUUUCACCCGGAGUUAAGCGCGUGCACCACAACUCUGAAAAGCCAGUAUCAAUGGAGCGCCGAUUCGACGAGUCACCAUGGCAACGGGGAAGCGGAGGACUACACCGUUUGAAUUGGAAAUCUUAAUGCGCUUAUAUAGCGAGUUUGAACACAUUUUUAGAAAGAAGUGCAACACCUGCAGCUGUAAAAGAGAGGGAGACGGUGUGGGAGAACAUUGCUGCCUGGGUCAAUGUAUUCUGAUGGUGUUAUCUGCCUGGUGGAGCCCCUUCACACCACAACAGAGCUUGUAACUGAUGAAGAGGAUGAAACUGUGUCUGCUGCCUUUACAGAGGGGGAUCCAGAAAGGCAUACAGAGAGCAUGGCUGGACAGCAGCAGGAUGCUUCCUCAACUUCCACUGCACAGAUUGACACAGUAAGAUGGAUGUUCAGUAAACACCAGAGGUUCAUUCUGUGGAAUUCAUGUGCAACUGUAUAAUUUAAUGUCCUCUGUGUAUUCCCAGUUAUCAGUAAAACAGAUUUACAAACUGCACUUGCUGAGAAAAAUCCAGAAAACAGAUAAAGAAAUACAGUAUUUGGACCGCCAGAUUAGGAGGGCAGAUCUGGAAACUGAAAUACUGGAGCACAAGUUAGAGGUGGGUGCAGGUCACAGGUGAACUAUGUUAACUACUGGAACAUGA
Molecule: long non-coding RNA, 1612 nt
Organism: Amphiprion ocellaris (clown anemonefish)
Lineage: Eukaryota; Metazoa; Chordata; Actinopteri; Pomacentridae
Exons: 4
Source: RefSeq, a predicted model, not a curated record